AUCCAGCUGACGAGUCUCGAAUGGGACAACACGCGCGUCCUGAAU
Molecule: non-coding RNA, 45 nt
Filed under: Schistosoma mansoni
Lineage: Eukaryota; Metazoa; Platyhelminthes; Trematoda; Strigeidida; Schistosomatidae
Source: RNAcentral